GAGAAUAUCCAGGAGUCCAAGAGAUCUAAAUUGGAAGAUGGCCUUCCAAUUUAGGUCAGUUUCCAAUUAAGAAGGCCAGGUUUUUAUGAAGCAAUAUUUGUCAAGAAUUCAACUAUCAACUUGCUGGUCCUCUACUUCCCGAAACUCUCCAGCCUACAUUUCUUCCUCUUCUUCGGUUUCUAAACUCAAACUGACUUUGGAAUGAAAGGGAGCAGCUGCUGAGACAAUGGAAAUUUCACUGGGAAUAGCAAUGUUUCUUGGAUCGGCCAUGAUUACCUCAGUGCAAUUAUACUGCUAUUCAGCCGACCACAUCCUCAUAAAGCCAGGUCACUUGAAACAAUGUCUGUCUGGCAAACACGGUGUCAAGAACUACGUAAAUCAAGCUGUGAUCGGUCCUGCAUUCUUCCCUGUCACUGGGACGUCACAUAAGUCUACUGCACUUCCGGCAUGGACAUUCACUUUUGCAGAUGAGGAAACAAGAAUUCAGAGUUGAUUUGCACAUACGAAGCAAAACAAGUGAGAUCCAAGCCUCCAGACUCUACAACAGAUGCUUCCAAUAUCUAUGUCUAAUGAAGUAAACUACUCUGAAAAUCAAAA
Molecule: long non-coding RNA, 597 nt
Organism: Homo sapiens (human)
Lineage: Eukaryota; Metazoa; Chordata; Mammalia; Primates; Hominidae
Product: long intergenic non-protein coding RNA 2509
Source: Ensembl